Molecule: ribosomal RNA, 551 nt
Filed under: Salmonella enterica subsp. enterica serovar Enteritidis
Lineage: Bacteria; Pseudomonadati; Pseudomonadota; Gammaproteobacteria; Enterobacterales; Enterobacteriaceae
Description: bacterial SSU rRNA
Rfam family: Bacterial small subunit ribosomal RNA
Source: RNAcentral
UGCUGCUUCGCUGACGAGUGGCGGACGGGUGAGUAAUGUCUGGGAAACUGCCUGAUGGAGGGGGAUAACUACUGGAAACGGUGGCUAAUACCGCAUAACGUCGCAAGACCAAAGAGGGGGACCUUCGGGCCUCUUGCCAUCAGAUGUGCCCAGAUGGGAUUAGCUUGUUGGUGAGGUAACGGCUCACCAAGGCGACGAUCCCUAGCUGGUCUGAGAGGAUGACCAGCCACACUGGAACUGAGACACGGUCCAGACUCCUACGGGAGGCAGCAGUGGGGAAUAUUGCACAAUGGGCGCAAGCCUGAUGCAGCCAUGCCGCGUGUAUGAAGAAGGCCUUCGGGUUGUAAAGUACUUUCAGCGGGGAGGAAGGUGUUGUGGUUAAUAACCGCAGCAAUUGACGUUACCCGCAGAAGAAGCACCGGCUAACUCCGUGCCAGCAGCCGCGGUAAUACGGAGGGUGCAAGCGUUAAUCGGAAUUACUGGGCGUAAAGCGCACGCAGGCGGUCUGUCAAGUCGGAUGUGAAAUCCCCGGGCUCAACCUGGGAACUGCA